Molecule: transfer RNA, 65 nt
Filed under: Paragonimus heterotremus
Lineage: Eukaryota; Metazoa; Platyhelminthes; Trematoda; Plagiorchiida; Troglotrematidae
Description: tRNA-Gln
Source: RNAcentral
UACAGCUUGGUGUUUGUGUUGCAUCUUAUGUUUUGGUCAUAGGGGUAGUUUGUUGCUAGCUGUAG